This 84-nucleotide non-coding RNA is filed under the name bovine gut metagenome. RNAcentral describes it as "TPP riboswitch (THI element)". It matches the Rfam family "TPP riboswitch aptamer (THI element)", at positions 9 to 90 of the family's 105-position model. From Rfam's summary of the family: Vitamin B(1) in its active form thiamin pyrophosphate (TPP) is an essential coenzyme that is synthesised by coupling of pyrimidine and thiazole moieties in bacteria. The previously detected thiamin-regulatory element, thi box was extended, resulting in a new, highly conserved RNA secondary structure, the THI element, which is widely distributed in eubacteria and also occurs in some archaea. The record is from RNAcentral.
AACCGGGGUGCUUCUUCGGAAGCUGAGACAGGCGAGAGCCUGACCCGUCGAACCUGUUGGUUAAUACCAUCGUAGGGAGUAAAA